Sarcophilus harrisii (Tasmanian devil) is the source of this 641-nucleotide long non-coding RNA. RefSeq lists it as uncharacterized. The record is from RefSeq and is a predicted model, not a curated record. The transcript is spliced from 3 exons. NCBI's taxonomy places the organism in Eukaryota, Metazoa, Chordata, Mammalia, Dasyuromorphia, Dasyuridae.
CUGAGGGUGGUGGAGGGAACGAGUAGGGGGGACCAAUAAACUAACAGGGAAAAGAGAAAUCAUUGUCAAGAGGCUGAGGGAGGGAAGACUGGAAGAUAGAUUUUUAGGGAGGGCGGGGGUCUAUAUAGCGGUUGUAGGAGAUCAGUUUAUAAGAACUGAGGAGUUGAACGAGGAAGCGGAUGGCGAAGGGGAAAGAGGAACUCUCAGUAGCAGAUCAGUUCGAACACGCUGCGGUGGGAAGUCAGCAACAUCCCCUCAGCAGGUACCUCCUCUAGGAAGAUAUCUUCGUUCCAGUUGCCCAUCCUCACGCAGAAAAGCAUGAAGAGAUUUACAUAAACAGAUGCACAAUGAAAUAAGCAGAGACAAGAAAACCACAAUUCCCUAAUGAGUACUGAAACAAGCUUCCAGCAUCAGCAGUUUGAUCUUUUCAAGGUCAAGCAGAAAGCUCCUAUUAUCAAUUCCUUGCUCUUCCUCUCCCACGUUACUACCACUUUUUUCUCCUUUUCUUCCUCAAGAUAAUAAGUUGGAAGAUGAGAUUUAAAUAUAUCCAGUAACUACACUAAUUCAAGAUUAAGCUUUCUUAUUUAGCUGACAAAGGUUCCUUUUACACUCCCACCUUAGUGCUAGUAUUGGUCCUAGAU